AGAAACGAACACCAGAGACCCCGUUAUCGUCGUUGGCUCCCUUUUGGCCUUCGCCAUCGAUUUCUCUCUAGGGUUAGGGUUUCAACACCUCCGAUUCGCUUCUCAAAGAUGUGGCAUGAAGCUAGGAGAUCGGAGAGGAAAGUCCACGACAUGAUGGACGCGGCUCGAAAGAGAGCCCAACGAAGAGCCAUCUUCUUGGCCAAAAGGCGCGGUGAUCCUCAACAGUCCAUUCAAGUCAUCGGCUCCCGCUGCCGUAUCCACCGCGACGACGCUCUCUAUCACGCCACCGAAGACCAGCAAGGCCUGAUUCCUUGGAAUGGAAAACAAGACGUUUUGAUUGAUAGAUUUGAUGGCCGAGCUCUACUUGAUUUUAUUCGGGAGCCGGGGACGCGGCAUUUUAGGAAUCAAGAGAAGUCUGAAGAAGAAAAAGAAGUAGAAGAGUUUGUAAAUUUUGAGCGUUAUCGGGAUUUAAUUAAGCAUCGGCGUAGAGGAUUUAUGGAUGAGGAGGGUUUGCAACAUGUGAAUCAAGAAAUGGAGGCAAAAGUUACAGCACCAUUUCAAUCGGACAGAUCACAGCCAGCACAACCAGCUAAUAAAGGUUCAUAUUCGCAAGUUGGGUUCUCUUAUGACGGAAAUGGGAAAGAGGAAGCUCAUUUUUCGGACAUUGAUGAAGAUGAGGACGAGGAGGAGGAGGAGGAAGAGGAAGAUGAUGAAUUCAACAGUGAUGAUAGUAAUGAUGAAGGAAUGGAUAUAAUAGCAAAAGAAUUUGGAGUGAAAAGGUAUGGUUGGCUUGUCUAUAUGGAUAAAAAAGCAAAAGAGGAGGAAAAAAGACAGAAGGAAGUGAUCAAAGGCGAUCCUGCAAUUAGGAAACUGAGUCGCAAAGAAAGGAGAAAAGCUUCUCAAAUUGAGAGGGAGAGAGAAAGAGAAACUGCACGGAUAACUGGAACAAGAGUACUCCAUAAUGAUCCCUACCGGGAACCUAGGCGAAGUCCAACCUAUGAGGCUUAUCCGCGUUCUAGGAGGUCUAGAUCAAGAUCACGUUCAUACUCUCCAUCAUACUCAAGGCGCCAUGCACGUGGAGGUUAUGCUGAUGAUUCUCAUAGAAGUAAACCAAAGGCUCCAAAAAUAGAGUAUAUUACAGAGUUUGGGGGCUCGGGCGACGGGGAUGGGCCAAAGCUUGAAGGAUUUUCUCCGCCAUCAUCGCCUCCAUCCCAGGCUGACAUGUUGAACCGGCCAUCAUCUGGUCACAUACUUGAGGCACUUCAUGUUGAUCCUGCAUCUGGUGUGUCUCUUGAUAAAGAAAAGAGCGGUAAAGUGUCAAAACCAGCAGUAAGCACAUCGUCAGCGUUAGCAAAGUUGACAAAAGGAAGUACCUGUGGAGGAUCCUCAAAACAGGUGCAGGGUGAGAAGAAAGAAACUCCUCAGGAGCGGCUAAAAAGGAUCAUGAACAGGCAGUUAAACAAGCAAAUUAAGAAAGACACAGCGGCGGAAAUGGCAAAGAAACGAGAACAAGAGCGCCAAAGACUGGAAAAACUUGCAGAAACAAGCCGAUUAAGUCGUCAAAGGCAUCGCAGCCGCAGUAGGAGCUACAGUCGCUCUCCUCCAAGAAGAUAUAGACGGAGUAGAAGUCCAAGUAGGAGUAGGAGUUCUCGAAGAUACUAUUCUCGUUCACGCUCACGUUCACGUUCACGAUCUAGGUCCCCCUCUUACUCUCGCUCCCGUUCUCGUUCUAAGUCCUGCUCGCCGAGGGUAAGAAGCCGUUCAAGGUACUGAAAGCAAUUGCUGCACCUGCAAAGGUUGCAGACUUGCCGGCAGGGUAUUUCAUAUUUUAUGCAUGCAGUGUUGCGAUGCCCAGCUUUUGAGAAUAUUUUGCCAAAUGGUGUAAGGUUAUGUCUCAGCCUGCGUCGCGCGUGGCAGAUUAUGAAGGAGGACUGCAGUGGUGGUUGGGCUUGUAUGCGAAUGUUGCGAUGCUACAUGUCCUUGUUUUUUUCACUCACAGUCACUGACAAUUCCAGAAUGACUGCACGCGGUGAAGAAGCUGGCAGAGAAUAUUUGAUUCCAGUUGUGGAAUAAAAUUUUGUUAUCCCUAGAAGGUGCCAUUUGAUUGGUAAAAUUUUAACAAACCCGAGGUAUGAAAUCUUUUUAUUUCUUGUUUUGGGAUGAAAGAAAAUAUUAUGUAUUAUUGUUAAAUGAAUUUGGCCAAACAUUUGAA
RNA transcript from Theobroma umbraticum, 2212 nucleotides. It is a transcript of the gene named CLK4-associating serine/arginine-rich protein, with no coding region annotated. The record is from RefSeq and is a predicted model, not a curated record. NCBI's taxonomy places the organism in Eukaryota, Viridiplantae, Streptophyta, Magnoliopsida, Malvales, Malvaceae.